UACGAAGGGGGCUAGCGUUGUUCGGAAUCACUGGGCGUAAAGCGCUCGUAGGCGGAUCUUUAAGUCAGGGGUGAAAUCCCGAGGCUCAACCUCGGAACUGCCUUUGAUACUGGGGAUCUCGAGUCCGGGAGAGGUGAGUGGAACUGCGAGUGUAGAGGUGAAAUUCGUAGAUAUUCGCAAGAACACCAGUGGCGAAGGCGGCUCGCUGGCCCGGUACUGACGCUGAGGAGCGAAAGCGUGGGGAGCAAAC
RNAcentral lists this ribosomal RNA (250 nucleotides) under uncultured bacterium. RNAcentral's name for it is "partial 16S ribosomal RNA". It matches the Rfam family "Bacterial small subunit ribosomal RNA", at positions 524 to 773 of the family's 1533-position model. The record is from RNAcentral.